CUUACUCAUGUUUCCAUGUAGGACCAGAGUCAAGAGCCAAACAUCUCGCUGUGUGGCUAGAAGACUAUAGAAAGGACAGAGCCCAGGGUGAUACAGAGCUGGAAAUGCUAGGGUGAAAAUCGACCACAGAUGAGGCUUCGGAAGCAUCUUUGUGUGUGAAUCGUGCAGUCCAGCGCUUCAUGACGAGCACAGCCCUCUCCCAGCCAUCCAGGGGAGUAAAAGUCAGGCCAGGAAGGACAACAAGGGAUUCUUCCCUGAAUACACACUGACAUUCAGGGAGUUCUCAAUAAAGAGUCUGCCCCACCCGCAUUUAUGGUGAAGCUCAAGAGCUGAGGAUCAUUUCUGUCAUGAAAUUAGAGGACAGAAGAUGAAGUAUUGGACACAAGAUGAACUAUUGGAGUUUAUUUGAGGAAAGGUUAAAAAAAAGUCAGUACUGGGAAACAAUAAAGAAACAGAAUUCUAGAGAAAACUGAUAGUUCUUCAGAGAACAGAAAAAGUUAUCAAAACCACACUAUAUUACCACAAACAUAAGAAAAAACAUUAGUCAAGUACAGUAUACUGUGAUAAAAACAAAACAAACCCCCAGAAAAGUAAUGAACUCCUAGAAUUAAAAGCAUAAGAAAUAUGUGUAUGCAAGCAUAUGCAUGUGCAUGUGAGUGCACUGCUCACAGAGGCCAGAAGAGGGCGCCAGACCUCUUGAAUCUAGAAUUACAGGCACUUAUGAGCUGACCCCUGUGGGUGCUGGGAAGGAAAUUCUGU
RNAcentral lists this long non-coding RNA (759 nucleotides) under Rattus norvegicus (Norway rat). RNAcentral's name for it is "long non-coding RNA NONRATT008921". Lineage: Eukaryota; Metazoa; Chordata; Mammalia; Rodentia; Muridae. The record is from RNAcentral.